This 538-nucleotide ribosomal RNA is filed under the name uncultured Glomeromycotina. RNAcentral describes it as "SSU rRNA". It matches the Rfam family "Eukaryotic small subunit ribosomal RNA", at positions 552 to 1096 of the family's 1831-position model. The record is from RNAcentral. Lineage: Eukaryota; Fungi; Glomeromycota.
AGGGCAAGUCUGGUGCCAGCAGCCGCGGUAAUUCCAGCUCCAAUAGCGUAUAUUAAAGUUGUUGCAGUUAAAAAGCUCGUAGUUGAAUUUCGGGGUUCUACCGUUGGUCGGGCUUUGUCUGUACUGGCGUGUAGAAUUUCUACCUUCUGGGGAACCACUAUGUUAUUAAUUUAGCGUAGUGGGAAACCAGGACCUUUACCUUGAAAAAAUUAGAGUGUUCAAAGCAGGCUUAUGUCUGAAUACAUUAGCAUGGAAUAAUAGAAUAGGACGGUGGUCCUGUUUUGUUGGUUUCUGAAUCACCGUAAUGAUUAAUAGGGAUAGUUGGGGGCAUUAGUAUUCAAUUGUCAGAGGUGAAAUUCUUGGAUUUAUUGAAGACUAACUUCUGCGAAAGCAUUUGCCAAGGAUGUUUUCAUUAAUCAAGAACGAAAGUUAGGGGAUCGAAGACGAUCAGAUACCGUCGUAGUCUUAACCAUAAACUAUGCCGACUAGGGAUCGGACGAUGUUAAUUUUUCUUGACUCGUUCGGCGCCUUACGGGAA